GACGAACGCUGGCGGCGUGCUUAACACAUGCAAGUCGAACGGUGAAGCGCCUUCCUUUUUGGUGGGUGUGGAUGAGUGGCGAACGGGUGAGUAGCACGUGAGUAACCUGCCCCCUUCUUCUGGAUAACCGCAUGAAAGUGUGGCUAAUACGGGAUAUUCUGGGUCUGUCGCAUGAUGGGUCUGGGAAAGAUAUUGUUUCGGUGGGGGAUGGGCUCGCGGCCUAUCAGCUUGUUGGUGGGGUGAUGGCCUACCAAGGCGGUGACGGGUAGCCGGCCUGAGAGGGUGGACGGUCACACUGGGACUGAGCCGCGGCCCAGACUCCUACGGGAGGCAGCAGUGGGGAAUAUUGCACAAUGGGCGCAAGCCUGAUGCAGCGACGCCGCGUGAGGGAUGGAGGCCUUCGGGUUGUGAACCUCUUUCGCCAGUGAAGCAGGCCUGCCUCGUUUGUGGGUGGGUUGACGGUAGCUGGAUAAGAAGCGCCGGCUAACUACGUG
This 494-nucleotide ribosomal RNA is filed under the name uncultured bacterium. RNAcentral describes it as "partial 16S ribosomal RNA". It matches the Rfam family "Bacterial small subunit ribosomal RNA", at positions 28 to 507 of the family's 1533-position model. The record is from RNAcentral.